AGAGUUUGAUCAUGGCUCAGAGCGAACGCUGGCGGCAGGCUUAACACAUGCAAGUCGAGCGGGCGUAGCAAUACGUCAGCGGCAGACGGGUGAGUAACGCGUGGGAACGUACCUUUUGGUUCGGAACAACCCAGGGAAACUUGGGCUAAUACCGGAUAAGCCCUUACGGGGAAAGAUUUAUCGCCGAAAGAUCGGCCCGCGUCUGAUUAGCUAGUUGGUGAGGUAACGGCUCACCAAGGCGACGAUCAGUAGCUGGUCUGAGAGGAUGAUCAGCCACAUUGGGACUGAGACACGGCCCAAACUCCUACGGGAGGCAGCAGUGGGGAAUAUUGGACAAUGGGCGCAAGCCUGAUCCAGCCAUGCCGCGUGAGUGAUGAAGGCCCUAGGGUUGUAAAGCUCUUUUGUGCGGGAAGAUAAUGACGGUACCGCAAGAAUAAGCCCCGGCUAACUUCGUGCCAGCAGCCGCGGUAAUACGAAGGGGGCUAGCGUUGCUCGGAAUCACUGGGCGUAAAGGGUGCGUAGGCGGGUCUUUAAGUCAGGGGUGAAAUCCUGGAGCUCAACUCCAGAACUGCCUUUGAUACUGAAGAUCUUGAGUUCGAGAGAGGUGAGUGGAACUGCGAGUGUAGAGGUGAAAUUCGUAGAUAUUCGCAAGAACACCAGUGGCGAAGGCGGCUCACUGGCCCGAUACUGACGCUGAGGCACGAAAGCGUGGGGACAAACAGGAUUAGAUACCCUAGUAGUCC
This 743-nucleotide ribosomal RNA is filed under the name uncultured bacterium. RNAcentral describes it as "bacterial SSU rRNA". It matches the Rfam family "Bacterial small subunit ribosomal RNA", at positions 8 to 796 of the family's 1533-position model. The record is from RNAcentral.